Populus nigra (black poplar) is the source of this 1112-nucleotide long non-coding RNA. RefSeq lists it as uncharacterized. Lineage: Eukaryota; Viridiplantae; Streptophyta; Magnoliopsida; Malpighiales; Salicaceae. The transcript has 2 exons. The record is from RefSeq and is a predicted model, not a curated record.
AGCUUAUCUCCAUAUUCUACAGAUAAAAUGGUUGAACUUUUACGUGGAUGAGUCUUACGUUUAAAAACAAAUGUUAGGACAACAUUUCGUUCAUAUCCCUUGUGUCCAGGUCAUGCCCGCGUGCAAUGACUUUUUUUCACUUUUUUUUUUAUAUUUUAUUUUCAAUUACAUUUUUUAUAUGCGUUUUUUUAAUUAUCUCAACAAAUUUUUAUUUUGUUUUUUUAAUGUUUUUGUUGUCCCAUGACCAGGAACAAAACUGCUCUGAAGAGGACCAACCAGGCUAAUGCAACGACCCGGAAAACCCGGUUGACCCGGCGGAUCGACCCACGACCCGGGCGACCCGGGCAAACCCGGACGAGACCCGGUGUUUUGCAGAUGGAUCCGCUUGAGAUGAUUGCAAUUUGCAAGUCGAUCUUGGAGAUCUUAAGGCCUUUCCUUGCUUUGCUUCAAAACAGGGUCGAAUACGUCCCGUUGCAGUCGGAUGUUUAUUCACCCACUCCUUCACAGAGCGAUGACUAAGAGCGGGGAAUCAGGGGAAAGAUGUAAAAGAGAGGGUUUGUGUGAUGUUUUUAAGCAUGGGGGAGUCAAGGAGCAGAGAGGGUAGAUGAUUUUUGUGAGGAGAUGGUGAUGAAAUCAAGAGGCCUUUCUCUGCACAAAACAAUCGACAAUAUCAUGUUCAUCCCUCUCCCACACCCUACCACAUUGGGUCCCACUUCACCCCUUCAGUGCCUCCCUUUCUCAUUUCUUACCUUUAACCCAACUUCACCCCUUCAGUGCCUCCCUUUCUCAUUUCUUACCUUUAACCCAACUUCACCUCUAAAUAACCCGGGUUUUAUGGGUUGACCCGGGUUAACCCGGGUUGACCCAUAAAACCCGGGACUCGGUUCUUUGACCGGGUCAAUUCCCGGAUCGGGUUUAAUAACUAUGUUAAAACCCUUUCAGUUUUUUUUUUAAUUAUUCUAGUUAUUAAAUUUCUUGUUACUUGAUUGAUAUAAUUUCUUUUUAAUGAUUAGGAAAUAUGAAUUUUGUUCACCUCCUUUUGAAUUAUUAGGGGUUGACAUACAUUUUUAGUUUGUAAUACUAAUAAAAUGAAUAUUAGCCCCUUUUCGGUU